Molecule: small RNA, 90 nt
Filed under: Klebsiella pneumoniae
Lineage: Bacteria; Pseudomonadati; Pseudomonadota; Gammaproteobacteria; Enterobacterales; Enterobacteriaceae
Description: partial RtT sRNA
Rfam family: RtT RNA
About the family: This family represents a bacterial cis-regulatory element known as RtT RNA. The exact function of RtT is unknown although it is thought that it may be involved in changing the cellular response in relation to amino acid starvation.
Source: RNAcentral
UAUUCUGCCCCACGGGGAAGGAUGAGAAGCUUCGACUAAGGUUCGACUCGAGCGAAGCGAGAGAACGUUGCCGCUGGCAAUGGCCCGAAG